Taeniopygia guttata (zebra finch) is the source of this 259-nucleotide non-coding RNA. The record is from RefSeq and is a predicted model, not a curated record. NCBI's taxonomy places the organism in Eukaryota, Metazoa, Chordata, Aves, Passeriformes, Estrildidae.
UGAGAGGCAAUGGGCAGAGACUGAGGCAUAGGAAGUUUCACUUGAACGUCAGCACUGUCUUUAAUUGAACUGCUUCCCUAAGCCUGCCUCAUGUUCUGUUCAAAAGGAAUGCAAGUCAUGACAAUCAAAGGAUCCCCCCAGUGACUGCAAAAAGACAACAGUAAGACCAUUUUUGAGAACAGCGAGAAGAGCAACGGGAUUAUCAGCCUAAACAGGUCACCUGAAUAAGCUAUGGAUAAAAUCCACCUGAAAGCAUGCA